GAUAAGUUAGACUGGCUAUACAAGCCAGUACUCUUAUCUGUAAUUGGAUCCGUCUCGCAUCCUUUGGGUACAGAGUAUACAGCUUGUUACGCAAAUCUGAGUUUGGUCAGUUCUGCAAAAAUGUACUGGAAUGGACAAAUGGAGCUAUCUCAUGGUUCACUGAUGGCAUUUGUGGAGCCUCAUAGUAUGAGAAGGAUGAUCUCCAACUUCUCUUCCAUUCAAAUGUUUGAUGUAGAUUCUAUCAAAGAUGGAGAUAAAGUAGCUCUUCAAUCACUUCAAUAGCUCAGAGUAUGCAGGUUGUGAAAGUUUAAAUUGGAUGCCUUGAAUCCAAAAUCUAGUGAAGAUGGAAGAGAAGCAUUCCCUUAACUCAAAAUUUGGUGAACGUAUUUCCCUUCACUUAAGUGCCGUAUCACUCAAGCAUUCCCUACAGGCAGCUCCAGCAUGGGUUGACAUGAAAUCAGUAUUGCGCAAAUGACAGCUAACACGGGAUAAGGCAAAGCUCUCU
Fragaria vesca subsp. vesca is the source of this 505-nucleotide RNA transcript. RefSeq lists it as uncharacterized. The record is from RefSeq and is a predicted model, not a curated record. Lineage: Eukaryota; Viridiplantae; Streptophyta; Magnoliopsida; Rosales; Rosaceae. The transcript has 4 exons.